RNAcentral lists this long non-coding RNA (461 nucleotides) under Drosophila melanogaster (fruit fly). RNAcentral's name for it is "antisense RNA:CR44030 (Dmel_CR44030)". Lineage: Eukaryota; Metazoa; Arthropoda; Insecta; Diptera; Drosophilidae. The record is from RNAcentral.
UACACAGUUAUACAAGGAAGUGCACGCCUAACGCUAAAAUAUGCUGCCGGCGGUCUGAUGAAACAUGCACGGAAUAAGUGUUCGGUCGACUUCGGGAAUGAUCUUCGUGCACAAUGUCUAGAAAAUGACAUCAUGUUCCACACAAUGUCAUGGUCUAUCAAAAUCUAUAGAGUUUGAUAACAACAUAAUGGUUCAAUGUUGCCGACUGGAUAACUCCACUUAUUGGACUCCGCCACAGAGUUGGUGGUCAGGGAUACCACCUGCUGAGCUUGUUGCGGACGAAGAGAGUGCAAUUGUGAUUUUAAAAAUACAGGGAAGGCAACAUGCUGCUGAAUUUGCAAGCUGGAUGAUAAUUCAUUAGCAGCUAAGCCCUUUAUAAGCGAUUUGUCACUAACACAUUUUGAUACCGUUCGCUUGGAAAGACAUCGAUCUUUUUGAAGUUUGUUUCUUUUUCGUCGAGC